GGUUCGACCUCGGAUC
This 16-nucleotide ribosomal RNA is filed under the name Pseudogymnoascus roseus. RNAcentral's name for it is "partial 28S ribosomal RNA". Lineage: Eukaryota; Fungi; Ascomycota; Leotiomycetes; Thelebolales; Thelebolaceae. The record is from RNAcentral.